Molecule: long non-coding RNA, 364 nt
Organism: Gossypium arboreum
Lineage: Eukaryota; Viridiplantae; Streptophyta; Magnoliopsida; Malvales; Malvaceae
Exons: 3
Source: RefSeq, a predicted model, not a curated record
UCAUUCUCUUUUUACCAGCCGAAUAUGAAGGCUUGAGAAGCCAUGGAAGAAGCUUCCAACUUUCAGCUAAUGCAUGGGUUGCCAGGUUAGAUCGGGUUGGAGGCCGUCAGAGAUAUUAUCACAUUGUCAAGUCUACGCUAUCGGCGUUGUUCUUUCAGGAAGUAUCUAUUCCAUGAUGGACUAUAUCAAGGAGCCACUUAUGUUUAUGUAAUAUGGAUUUGAACUUCAUUACAUUGAAUUAUAUCAAUGGAUUGUUUAAUUUCAAUGUGUUUAUUUUGAGUACCAUGUAUUUUCUCUGUCACCACGUUUGUAUUUGGGAUGGAUUUUUAUAAGACAAGUUGUUGAAAUAUUUGACUAUUUUAAA